This 370-nucleotide long non-coding RNA is filed under the name Anas platyrhynchos platyrhynchos (common mallard). RNAcentral's name for it is "lncRNA (ENSAPLG00000031236.1)". The record is from RNAcentral. Lineage: Eukaryota; Metazoa; Chordata; Aves; Anseriformes; Anatidae.
AUGAACACUGUCAAAAUGGUUUCUUCUUUCCACUGUUUCCUCAAGACCUUGCAAUGCAUUUUCCUGAUUGAAUACUGUCAGCAGGGGGAGCGUCAACAGCACAGGAUAGUCUCCUACAGGAGUUACUGGGUCUUCUUGGGAGGAAAAGGGACAGACCUGCUGAAUCAGAAAGGCAGGAUUUUGGCCAAGUUUAUGCUGGCAUUGAAAUAAAAUAUCUUGGGUAAUCUGCAUUGUCUGGACAUUCUGUAUUCCUGGAUGAUUCUUCUCUUCAGUGAGUCAGUGGCUUCUGGUAAAUGGUGAUUACCCCUCAGUCUACGUGAAAAGUUCAGCUAAGCUAGGCUGUUGUAAUUAGUUCAGACAUCAAUAUAUU